Calypte anna (Anna's hummingbird) is the source of this 832-nucleotide long non-coding RNA. RefSeq lists it as uncharacterized. Lineage: Eukaryota; Metazoa; Chordata; Aves; Apodiformes; Trochilidae. The transcript has 3 exons. The record is from RefSeq and is a predicted model, not a curated record.
UUUUCCUCCUCCCCAGGAAGGUCUUCCCGGCUGCCUGACCCAGGGCUGCUGCAGCUCCAGCCCUGUGGGGAAGCCUCGCAGUCCUGGCAGCCUCUGGAAGUUGAACAUUCCUGAGAAAUGCUCUGGAUGUUCAUGAAAUACCUCCAGCCCUCCCAUCGAGUAGACAUCAUCCUCAUGGCUAUCAAGAACAUGAAAGGCCCAGGGCAGUACAGCAGGAGCUGUCUACCUACAUGGUAGACAUCCUUGUGAGCCAACCUGUCUUCCAUACACAGCAUGGAUGACUUCCCCUCCACCAAGCAGCCCAUGCCCAUGCCAGCAGCUAUGGGAGCAGAGGCAGAAACCAAGACCUUGCUCCUCCCUUAGUAGCUUUCACUCCACCUGGCUCAACCUGGACUUGCUAAAAGCCAUUCAACCUGCCAGGCUUUGGCAGGAUGGAUUUUACCAUCCACCAGAGUCAGUCUCCUGCAGCAUCCUCUCCUUUCUUGACCUGCCUUCUUCCAUGGCACACAAGCCAACACAGCUCCAACACCAGCACAGCACAACCCCACAGCACCGUGUCUGCUGGGGAUGCAACCACCACGCGCUGCCUUGGACCAUCUCCUGAGGCCCCAGAGAGGUGGACACAAGUCCAGGGCCCAGAUUAAGGACAUCCAGGAGCAGUGCUUACUUCUUUACUGUACCCCUCACAUCCUCAUCAGUACUGAGGGGCUGUUUUUCACAGCUUCAGCCACUGAUUGCAUUCUCCAGCACUAACAGUGCAGUGAAGAAGAGGCCUUUGAAGACUGCUGUAGCUGGAAGGGAACCUAGCAAUUAUUUUUAAAACCUUGAAAAC